AUGUUCAACUUAUUCUAUUAUUUCUCUCCCCAACCAAGGUAUCCCUCAGCCAAACAAUAUACAGAGAUUUUAAGCCUGUUCAUACACAGAUGUCCCUUCAUGCGGGAGAAAAUUGGUUCAGGACAUGAUGAUUUACGUGAGUCUCUAACAAGUUCAAAAAGGAAAGGCGACCCCUUAUUGGUGACUCAAUGGUGCAACAAAUGUGUCCAAAAUUUUCUGUGGCAGGAUCUGGAAAGAAGCGCCAUACUCCGGGUCAACCAAGCCAGCUUUUCUACAUAACCAGGCCCGCUGCUCAGGAAGAUGGAGACUUUGGAGAGGAUGAAAGGACCAUUCAAGCUCAUAUCCAAAAUAUGUCUACAG
Molecule: long non-coding RNA, 360 nt
Organism: Myripristis murdjan (pinecone soldierfish)
Lineage: Eukaryota; Metazoa; Chordata; Actinopteri; Holocentriformes; Holocentridae
Exons: 3
Source: RefSeq, a predicted model, not a curated record